CCCUUAGAUGUUCUGGGCCGCACGCGCGCUACACUGAUGCAUUCAACGAGUCCAACCUUGACCGAGAGGUCCGGGUAAUCUUUGAAACUGCAUCGUGAUGGGGCUAGAUUAUUGCAAUUAUUAAUCUUCAACGAGGAAUGCCUAGUAAGCGUGAUUCAUCAAAUCGCGUUGAUUACGUCCCUGCCCUUUGUACACACCGCUCGUCGCUCCUACCGAUUGAGUGUGUUGGUGAGGAGUUUGGAUUGGCCUCGGAAGGUGGUUCGCCACCGUCCGUAGCUGAGAAGUUCUCCAAACCGCCCCACUUAGAGGAAGGAGAAGUCGUAACA
This 326-nucleotide ribosomal RNA is filed under the name uncultured eukaryote. RNAcentral describes it as "partial 18S ribosomal RNA". It matches the Rfam family "Eukaryotic small subunit ribosomal RNA", at positions 1470 to 1796 of the family's 1831-position model. The record is from RNAcentral.